RNAcentral lists this ribosomal RNA (504 nucleotides) under uncultured bacterium. RNAcentral describes it as "bacterial SSU rRNA". It matches the Rfam family "Bacterial small subunit ribosomal RNA", at positions 10 to 507 of the family's 1533-position model. The record is from RNAcentral.
AGUUUGAUCAUGGCUCAGAUUGAACGCUGGCGGCAUGCCUUACACAUGCAAGUCGAACGGCAGCACGGGAGCUUGCUCCUGGUGGCGAGUGGCGAACGGGUGAGUAAUACAUCGGAACGUACCCUGAAGUGGGGGAUAACGUAGCGAAAGUUACGCUAAUACCGCAGAUUCUGUGAGCAGGGAAGAGGGGGAUCGCAAGACCUCUUGCUUUAGGAGCGGCCGAUGUCGGAUUAGCUAGUUGGUGAGGUAAAGGCUCACCAAGGCGACGAUCCGUAGCGGGUCUGAGAGGAUGAUCCGCCACACUGGGACUGAGACACGGCCCAGACUCCUACGGGAGGCAGCAGUGGGGAAUUUUGGACAAUGGGCGCAAGCCUGAUCCAGCCAUGCCGCGUGAGUGAAGAAGGCCUUCGGGUUGUAAAGCUCUUUCGGUGGGGAAGAAAUUGCUUCGGUUAAUACCUGGAGUAGAUGACGGUACCCGCAUAAGAAGCACCGGCUAACUACGUG